GACGAACGCUGGCGGCGUGCUUAACACAUGCAAGUCGAGCGGUAAGGCCCCUUUUCGGGGGGUACACGAGCGGCGAAACGGGGUGAGUAACACGUGGGUGACCUGCCCUUAGCUCUGGGAUAAGCCCGGGAAACUGGGUCUAAUACCGGAUAUGACUCCAUGACGCAUGUUGUGGGGGUGGAAAGCCUUGUGCGGCUAGGGAU
This 203-nucleotide ribosomal RNA is filed under the name uncultured bacterium. RNAcentral's name for it is "partial 16S ribosomal RNA". It matches the Rfam family "Bacterial small subunit ribosomal RNA", at positions 28 to 226 of the family's 1533-position model. The record is from RNAcentral.